Molecule: ribosomal RNA, 137 nt
Filed under: uncultured bacterium
Lineage: Bacteria
Description: partial 16S ribosomal RNA
Rfam family: Bacterial small subunit ribosomal RNA
Source: RNAcentral
GGGAAUAUUGGACAAUGGGCGAAAGCCUGAUCCAGCAAUGCCGCGUGUGUGAAGAAGGUCUUCGGAUUGUAAAGCACUUUCGACGGGGACGAUGAUGACGGUACCCGUAGAAGAAGCCCCGGCUAACUUCGUGCCGG